UACGUAGGGUGCAAGCGUCGUCCGGAAUUAUUGGGCGUAAAGAGCUCGUAGGCGGUUUGUUGCGUCGGCUGUGAAAACCUGAGGCUCAACCUCAGGCCUGCAGUCGAUACGAGCAGACUAGAGUGUUGCAGGGGAGACUGGAAUUCCUGGUGUAGCGGUGAAAUGCGCAGAUAUCAGGAGGAACACCGGUGGCGAAGGCGGGUCUCUGGGCAACAACUGACGCUGAGGUGCGAAAGCGUGGGGAGCGAACGGG
RNAcentral lists this ribosomal RNA (253 nucleotides) under uncultured bacterium. RNAcentral's name for it is "partial 16S ribosomal RNA". It matches the Rfam family "Bacterial small subunit ribosomal RNA", at positions 524 to 776 of the family's 1533-position model. The record is from RNAcentral.